This 434-nucleotide ribosomal RNA is filed under the name uncultured Lachnospiraceae bacterium. RNAcentral's name for it is "partial 16S ribosomal RNA". It matches the Rfam family "Bacterial small subunit ribosomal RNA", at positions 341 to 792 of the family's 1533-position model. Lineage: Bacteria; Bacillati; Bacillota; Clostridia; Lachnospirales; Lachnospiraceae. The record is from RNAcentral.
ACGGGAGGCAGCAGUGGGGAAUAUUGCACAAUGGGGGAAACCCUGAUGCAGCGACGCCGCGUGAGUGAAGAAGUAUUUCGGUAUGUAAAGCUCUAUCAGCAGGGAAGAAAAUGACGGUACCUGACUAAGAAGCCCCGGCUAACUACGUGCCAGCAGCCGCGGUAAUACGUAGGGGGCAAGCGUUAUCCGGAUUUACUGGGUGUAAAGGGAGCGUAGGCGGUAUGCUAAGUCUGAUGUGAAAGCCCGAGGCUCAACCUCGGUACUGCAUUGGAAACUGGUAAACUAGAGUGUCGGAGGGGUAAGUGGAAUUCCUAGUGUAGCGGUGAAAUGCGUAGAUAUUAGGAGGAACACCAGUGGCGAAGGCGGCUUACUGGACGAUAACUGACGCUGAGGCUCGAAAGCGUGGGGAGCAAACAGGAUUAGAUACCCUGGUA